Long non-coding RNA from Symphalangus syndactylus (siamang), 3217 nucleotides. RefSeq lists it as uncharacterized. NCBI's taxonomy places the organism in Eukaryota, Metazoa, Chordata, Mammalia, Primates, Hylobatidae. The record is from RefSeq and is a predicted model, not a curated record.
UAGGAUGGUGUUUCACCAUGUUGCCCAGGCUGGUCUCAAACUCUUGGGUUCAAGCAAAUCGCCUGCCUUGGCCUCCCGAAGUGCCGGGAUUACAGUCCCACCCUCUUAAAACCUUGAAAAUAAAGUUGCUUCCCAAAUGUUCACAUCUCUAGCCUGCCAGCUUUCCCAGAUAUUGAGGGAACAGAGAAACAACUGCUCCUUUGGCUUCUAAUUCCACCUGACGGUCGGCAUGGGUGCUGUGCAGGGCACCAGGAUGCAGAGCACUCUCAGCAAAAAUCACAGGAUAAAGCAGCAAAAGAAGCUCUCGGAUGUGUGUUCAGAGAUCCUGAAAUACAUACAAUAAUUGCUGCACUUUAAACCAUAAUCACAGGAUGAGUUUUAGUGCCUGUAAAUUGAGGAUACUCUCCAAAUAGCAUUGAGACAGGGACUCGCCAUGUUUCCCAGGCUGGUCUCCAACUCCUGGGCUGAAGCAAUCCACCUGCCAUGGCCUCCCAAAGUGCUGGGAUUACCGGUAUGAGCUACCACCUGGCCCGUUGGAAUCUGGAUAACUUGCUUCACCCAGUCUGCAGCUUUCUGCCUAAAUGCAUAUAGUGAAGUGGGAGGAGUGAAGAAGACAAUUAUGAGGAAAUGAAAGCUGACAAAUGAAAGGUGGAGAGUGAUAGAGAUGAAGCUGACCCAUUGCACAAACUGAAUGUGGAUCAGCCAACACUGACGUCAAUGCAUACUUAGUUGCCCACCAGCAAGAAAAGCUUUCUCAUCUAGUAACUGGCAAUAGCUAAGCGGCUCCCAAGAUUGCUGUGAAGAUGAAGUAAGUAUCUAGCAGAAUACCUGAAAACAGUGAGGGCUCAAUUAAAUGUGAGUCAUCACACUGUCUUCACCAGAGAGAACAACUUCACCAAUCUGAAUUUUUACCUGACUUCUAUAUAAUUAGAAGGACUUGAAGAUUAGAUACUAAAAAAAAAAAUAAAAACCAAAAAGACAAAACAAAAACCUAAGAUAUCACACAAUGACAUCAGAAACACUGAUUUGACCCACCUAUAUUUUAUGCCAGAAUUAUAAUAGACAUACUAUAGCCAGGCAAAACUUGGUUAUAAUGUCAAAGCAAUAUUCUGUGUUUUUUUCUUUGCAAGUUUCUUUGGUGUCUUACUUUGACAUUUUCUUUUGAGAUGUUAGUGACAGCACUUUGUAAUUCCUACAGCAUAUGAUUUACACACCUAUAACCUUUCUCUGCUGAAAAAAACUCCUAGAACACAUGUGCACGUAUGUUUCUUGUAGCACUAUUUACAAUAGCAAAGACUUGGAACCAACCCAAAUGCCUGUCAAUGAUAGACUGGAUACAGCAAAUGUGGCACAUAUACACAAUGGAAUACUAUGCAGCCAUAAAAAAGAAUGAGUUCAUGUCCUUUGCAGGGACAUGGAUGAAGCUGGAAACCAUCAUUCUCAGCAAACUAAAGGAAUAGAAAACCAAACACCACAUGUUCUCACUCAUAAGUGGGAGUUGAACAAUGAGAACACAUGGACACAGGGAGGGGAACAUCACACACGGGGGCCUCUUGGGGGAUGAGGGGAAGUGGGGAGGGAGAGCCUUAGGACAAAUACCUAAUGCAUGCAGGGCUUAAAACCUACAUGACGAGUUGAUAGGUGCAGCAAACCACCAUGGCACAUGUAUACCUAUGUAACAAACCUGCACAUUCAGCACAUGUAUCCCAGAACUCACAGUAAAAAAAAAAAAAAAAAAAAAAAAAGAAAAUUAAAAAAAAAAUAGUUCUCUUGGAAAAAAAAACAACAACUCCUAGAACUCCUUUGUGCUGUUGUUUUGGUAAAUAUUUUGUUUUGGUAAUAAGGAAAUGUAAAGGUGAAGCAGGAGUUUACCCCCUUCUUUCUACAGAGCUAAGGACUUAAAAAAAAAAAAAAAGACUUUCUCUGAAAAAGACAAUUUUAGGGCAGCCGAUGCUUUCAAGGAGCAUUAAACAAAAUAUCCCAGUGUAAGUUCAUUACAGAAGGUUGGCAAAAAAGAGUGAAAUAAAUGACACCAAAUGGAAGGGCCAAAAGCAGAGGAAGGGAAAAAAAUAAAUGGAAGUGAACACACAUAAACUAUGAAAGCAUUCUAAUUUUGUGCAUCACAUUUUCACAACAAAAAUGACAAAUUGAUACAAAUCUUUAUAUAUAUGUAUAUAUAUGUGAUAUAUAUACACACACACAUACACACACACAAAUAAAUAUAACAAAUUAACUUAAAAACAUUUUGUCUUAUUCAGGCAAUCCCAUUAGAAAAAAAAAUCAGAGACUACAGAAUGGAAAAUCCAUUACAUAUCCUGUAACAUAUGUAAUAUUGACAUUUAAAAUGAGUAAAAAUUAUUUGCCUUCCCCUAAUUGCCUAAGACAAAAACUAACGGGAAAUGGCGCAGAAACCAAUCAGUUCAAUGUACAAACAUGAGGGUUUUACCUUAUAUUUUAUACCAUAAUACAGCAAACCGAGGAAGCUACUUUGUCCCUAAACUUACCGAGUUCAAUGAGUAUCCAACCUAACAGGUCAAUUAAUAAUUUCUUGGUCAGUCCCUGUCAUCUGAAUGUCUCCCUGCUCUUCCUUUAACAAUCUUAGAACAAAACACCACCAUGUGUAACUUUGCUAAGCUUUUAACCCAUGCUCUUUCUCUUCAAAACCCAAGUCAAACAAAAUCUCCCUUACAUACCUUCAACCUCUACUGCUGCUGCUCUAGUUCAGACUCAUGUUUUCUUAAAUGGACUAUUGCACUAGAUUCCUUAUUAGUCUUCCUGUCUUCCACCUCACCCACAUCUCCCACCUAUCUUACUCUGCUGCCAGAGACAUAUUUCUGACAGGCAAAUCUAAUCAUGUUAUCCCAAUUCCACUUUACCCCCACCCAUGCCCUAUAAUUUUCAGUAGGCUAGACUCCCCAUUACCUACAGAAUAAACUAUAAAAUCUUUGACAUAGCAUUCAAGAUGUUUCAUAUUCUGGUCUUUACUUAUCUGCUCCCCCUGUACCAAUCCCGCAUGCCUACAGAUUUUACAUGUAACCAGUUUUGAAUUUACAGUUCCCCACCAUUCCAAUCUCUGUCUAUCUGCCUGCAACAUUCUGCUUCUGUUUAUCUUCCUGACAACCUUCUCUAACUUCUGUCUCAAGUCCAAGUUCAAGUAAUUCCUUCUUUGUGAAGCUUCCCUGGCUCUUCAGGUAGACUGCUUGUUCCCUCACCUAUA